Molecule: ribosomal RNA, 253 nt
Filed under: uncultured bacterium
Lineage: Bacteria
Description: partial 16S ribosomal RNA
Rfam family: Bacterial small subunit ribosomal RNA
Source: RNAcentral
UACGUAGGGGGCAAGCGUUGUCCGGAAUUAUUGGGCGUAAAGAGCGCGUAGGCGGUCCGGUAAGUCGGCUGUGAAAGUCGGGGGCUCAACCCUCGAAUGCCGGUGGAUACUGUCGGGCUAGAGUGCGGAAGAGGCGAGUGGAAUUCCUGGUGUAGCGGUGAAAUGCGCAGAUAUCAGGAGGAACACCUAUUGCGAAGGCAGCUCGCUGGGACGUAACUGACGCUGAGACGCGAAAGCGUGGGGAGCAAACAGG